This 558-nucleotide long non-coding RNA is filed under the name Ananas comosus (pineapple). Its description in RNAcentral is "long non-coding RNA (ACOM_LNC043969)". Lineage: Eukaryota; Viridiplantae; Streptophyta; Magnoliopsida; Poales; Bromeliaceae. The record is from RNAcentral.
CUAGGAGAGAGAAAGUCAUGGUUACAUGCACCUAGUGUAUGGGUGCAUCCAACGAGAGUUGUCUUCUUAUGUGUUUAUAGAAGACGAGAGAAUAAUAGGAGAGAUUCAAAAAGAUGGCUCGGGUUAUAGCUGCUCUAUGCAGAAGAGGAGUCAGGUGUAAUCUUCUCUUAUUUAAUGAAUCUUAUUUUACCCGCAUAUUUUCUGUUUGGUUGUUUUCUCUCUUUUAUGAUUGUAUCAGCUUCUGCUGAGGAGACGGAUUUAUAGUAAAAAUCCGAUUCGACGCUUCCGUUGCGGAAUCCCAACAAUCGGUACCGAAUCAACAACAAUCCGUAUUUGAGCAGGUUGCGAAUUCUCAAAAUUCGGUACCGGGGUGAGUACCAGAUUCCCAACAAUUGGUAUCAGAGCUUAAGAUUACCGAUUUGUAGGAGAGAUCGACGGAGAUGGCCACGAAGUUCAAAAUCGAGAAGUUCGAUGGCAAGAACAAUUUCGGAUUGUGGCAUAUUAAAGUACGAGCAAUCCUCGUACAGCAAGAGUUGGAUGAGACGUUGAACAGAGAGG